GAAGGUGGCAAGCGUUGUUCGGUGUUACUGGGCUUAAAGCGUGUGUAGGCGGAAAAGUAAGCGUUUUGUGAAAUACCCGGGCUUAACCCGGGAAUUGCUUAGCGAACUACUUUUCUUGAGGCAAGUAGGGGUGCAUGGAACUCUUGGUGGAGCGGUGGAAUGCGUAGAUAUCAAGAGGAACGCCGAUGGAGAAAUCAGUGCACUGGGCUUGUCCUGACGCUGAGACACGAAAGCGUGGGGAGCGAACGGGAUUAGAUACCCCGGUAGUCCACGCUGUAAACGAUGUCUACUAGGUCGUGGAAGUUCUGACACUGCCACGGCCCGAAGCAAAAGUGUUAAGUAGACCGCCUGGGGAGUACGGUCGCAAGGCUA
Molecule: ribosomal RNA, 372 nt
Filed under: uncultured organism
Description: partial 16S ribosomal RNA
Rfam family: Bacterial small subunit ribosomal RNA
Source: RNAcentral